AGUGGUUAAAGACUAUAGAGCGUUUGACUGCAGAUCAAAUGGUCAGGAGUUCAAA
Molecule: transfer RNA, 55 nt
Filed under: Cryptomonas paramaecium
Lineage: Eukaryota; Cryptophyceae; Cryptomonadales; Cryptomonadaceae
Description: Cryptomonas paramecium partial tRNA
Source: RNAcentral